AUACGUAGGUGGCGAGCGUUGUCCGGAAUUACUGGGCGUAAAGGAUGCGUAGGCGGAUAUUUAAGUGGGAUGUGAAAUCCCCGGGCUCAACCCGGGAACUGCAUUCCAAACUGGGUAUCUAGAGUGCAGGAGAGGAAAGUGGAAUUCCUAGUGUAGCGGUGAAAUGCGUAGAUAUUAGGAGGAAUACCAGUGGCGAAGGCGACUUUCUGGACUUAUACUGACGCUGAGGAACGAAAGCGUGGGGAGCAAACAGGAUUAGAUACCCUGGUAGUCCACACUGUAAACGAUGAAUGCUAGGUGUAGGAGGUAUCGACCCCUUCUGUGCCGCAGUAAACACAGUAAGCAUUCCGCCUGGGGAGUACGGUCGCAAGAUUAAAACUCAAAUGAAUUGACGGGG
Molecule: ribosomal RNA, 397 nt
Filed under: uncultured bacterium
Lineage: Bacteria
Description: partial 16S ribosomal RNA
Rfam family: Bacterial small subunit ribosomal RNA
Source: RNAcentral